Molecule: long non-coding RNA, 873 nt
Organism: Amphiprion ocellaris (clown anemonefish)
Lineage: Eukaryota; Metazoa; Chordata; Actinopteri; Pomacentridae
Source: Ensembl
AGUGGGAGCAAAGUUUCAGUGCAUUCCGUUGAUGUGGACGGCGUGAAAACGGAAACAACAAGUAUGCUGGCUCACUGUGCUGCAUACAGUUACAUACUGCGUCGUACGAUUGAGACAAGGAAACUUGGAAUGACUUUUCAUAGGUUUCCCAGAGACUAUGGGUUGAGGAGGAAUUGGAAGUUUGUCGGCUUAGACCUGGUGUCAUUCCAUCAGUGUUAAACUUCCCGGCUCAUCUUGGAAGAGUACGUGCCAGAAAGACCACGACCAAGCAGCCUUGAGAUCUUAGGCAGCGUCUCCCUGAGGUCCCUCUCUAUCUCCCCACACAUCCACCAGCCACUGGAACACAUCUCCAAAGUUCUGCCGGGCCAGCUCAGCUUCCCCUCAGAAGAAGUUCCGCCAGAUGAAGGAGCCUUUUGAGAGGCAGCUGGCAUCGUGACUGGACUGUACUUUGGUCUGUUCCAAUCCAGCUUCAGCUCCAGAGACGGCAGGCGGGACGAGUCAACGGAGGCCUGGUGGAUGAAGGCAUGCAGCUGAGUACAAUCCAGAAAACAACAGAGGAGGAGUGCAGCAGCCCAGAGCCAGAACAAGCAGAGUAGCAUCGUAUGUCUCUUAGAAAACAACAUAGUAUAGCCUUUGGGAUGAAAAAACACCAUCAUAUACAUCGUAUAUUGUACAAAUAACAAGUCAAAGCAAAGAGACAUACAUUGUAGAAUUGUAGUAAUUGUGGGCUGACUGAUUUACUGAUUAUCAGUAUUUUAUUUUUUACUGAUUUACGGUAAUAAAUCAAUUUAAAAAUGGCGCUACUUUGGCUCUGAACCUUAAUCUACCUGUGGUGGCUCUGUCUUCUGGAGUGAUUUGAUUGGUUAUACGUCA